GUUUGGAUAGCUUAGCUGGAUGAGCAACAGGCUUUUAAUCUGAGGGUCCAGGUCUCAAACCUGUUCAGGUG
Molecule: transfer RNA, 71 nt
Filed under: Leptosomus discolor (cuckoo roller)
Lineage: Eukaryota; Metazoa; Chordata; Aves; Leptosomiformes; Leptosomidae
Rfam family: tRNA
About the family: Transfer RNA (tRNA) molecules are approximately 80 nucleotides in length. Their secondary structure includes four short double-helical elements and three loops (D, anti-codon, and T loops).
Source: Rfam by way of RNAcentral